AAUCGGGUACUUCAGCAAGCAUGUGUUCCUCCUCUUUCCCGUCAGGAGGUCCAUGAUGCUAGAGUAGGUUCUGUCCUUCAAGAAGCUUCAUUCCCUUCCCUACCAGCACAAUCAAGGAAGGCACCAGCACAUAGUCAGAGCUCAAGGACUGCAGCAAGGAUUGGGGACCAGCAGUUUCGUCCUUUAUCAGUUACUAGUAACAGGAAUGUUGCUUUAGCACAGCAGGGUACAAGAACAUUACCUGAAAACACCCAUGUAUCUGGGCUUGCACAAUACAGCAAGAGAACUGAGAACAUGCACCAAGCUGUUCAGCCUCAGUUCCUAAAAAAUAAUUCUUUGAUCCCUUCUGGCUCAACAAGCCGCCCUGUGCAUGUCCCCAGUUCUGCUGGAAAUGAAAGGCAAGACACAUUCAGCAACAGCCAGGUGUUAUCCAGUGUGGAGGACAUUCUUGCAGCAAAUAAAGCCCUGGUUGAGAAAAUGCGGGCUGCAUUAGGAAUGGAUCAGGAUAUGUUCAACGCAUUUAAAGAGAUCGCUGGGGAAUAUCGGCAAGGUGUUAUCAAUUCUUCAGAGUACCUUUCAUAUGUAAAGCAGUUUGGUCUCUUGCACCUUGUUCCUGAAAUGGCCAGGUUAUUGCCUGAUGCUCAGAAGCAGAAGGAGCUUGCAGAUGCCUAC
RNAcentral lists this long non-coding RNA (672 nucleotides) under Oryza sativa (Asian cultivated rice). RNAcentral describes it as "long non-coding RNA (OSAT_LNC000073)". The record is from RNAcentral. Lineage: Eukaryota; Viridiplantae; Streptophyta; Magnoliopsida; Poales; Poaceae.